Molecule: ribosomal RNA, 907 nt
Filed under: uncultured Verrucomicrobiae bacterium
Lineage: Bacteria; Pseudomonadati; Verrucomicrobiota; Verrucomicrobiia
Description: bacterial SSU rRNA
Rfam family: Bacterial small subunit ribosomal RNA
Source: RNAcentral
AGGGUUUGAUCAUGGCUCAGAACGAACGCUGGCGGCGUGGAUAAGACAUGCAAGUCGAACGAUUACUAUUGGGUAGCGACAUUCGGUGGUGAGAGUGGCGCAAGGGUGCGUAACACGUGGGUAAUUUGCCGUAAAGUCUGGGAUAACUCGCUGAAAGGCGAGCUAAUACCGGAUGUGAUUUCUGGAAGGCAUCUUCUGGAACUUAAAGUCGGGGAUCGUAAGACCUGACGCUUUUCGAUAAGCCCGCGGCCUAUCAGCUAGUUGGUGAGGUAACGGCUCACCAAGGCUAAGACGGGUAGCUGGUCUGAGAGGACGACCAGCCACACUGGAACUGAGACACGGUCCAGACACCUACGGGUGGCAGCAGUCGAGAAUUUUUCUCAAUGGGGGAAACCCUGAAGGAGCGACGCCGCGUGGGGGAUGAAUGGCUUCGGCCCGUAAACCCCUGUCAUUUGCGAUCAAACCUUACGACCUAACACGUCGUAAGCUGAUAGUAGCGGAAGAGGAAGGGACGGCUAACUCUGUGCCAGCGGCCGCGGUAAUACAGAGGUCCCAAGCGUUGUUCGGAUUCACUGGGCGUAAAGGGUGCGUAGGCGGUCGGGUAAGUCUGACGUGAAAUCUUCAAGCUCAACCUGGAAACUGCGUCGGAUACUAUUCGGCUAGAGGAAUGGAGGGGAGACUGGGAUACUUGGUGUAGCAGUGAAAUGCAUAGAUAUCAAGUGGAACACCAGUGGCGAAGGCGAGUCUCUGGACAUUUCCUGACGCUGAGGCACGAAAGCCAGGGGAGCAAACGGGAUUAGAUACCCCGGUAGUCCUGGCCCUAAACGGUGCACGUUUGCUGUAAGAGGAAUCGACCCCUUUUGUGGCGAAGCUAACGCGUUAAACGUGCCGCCUGGAAGUACGGCCG